This 553-nucleotide long non-coding RNA is filed under the name Elaeis guineensis (African oil palm). RNAcentral describes it as "long non-coding RNA (EGUI_LNC042486)". Lineage: Eukaryota; Viridiplantae; Streptophyta; Magnoliopsida; Arecales; Arecaceae. The record is from RNAcentral.
CGGAUGCUGCGCGGCUCCAUCACUCCCUGACGAGUCGUGACAACGGACGCCGCUCCAUUCUCCAUAACUGAUUUCACGUGACGAGCCAUGGUGACAGCCACGACUCCACCCUAUUACUCUUCAUGAUAAAUUCCUCUUGGCCCCAUGCGGCCCACGACUAGGCGGUUACAAACAGUCGCUAUCAGUCUAUCGCACCCCCUGCCUAUAAAAGGGAGACCCCAGAUACAUUAUUCUCUAAGCCCUAAUCUUUAUCCCAAAACUCUGCUAAAAUUUUCGUUCGAGUACUCCAUUCUUGUUGAGGCAGAGAACUGACUUGAGCGUCGGAGGGUCUUGCCGGAGCAACCCCACCUCCGGUUUAGACUUCUUUUGCAGGUCUCGGUGGUGACCGCGACUCUUCUAACUCCAGCUUCUCUGGCACAGGUGGAUUUUUGCACCAACAGGAUUAGCGCUAGAGGAAGGGGCUGUGUCUUCAUAGUACCCUUAUUCUUAAAGGAGCGCUCAACGGGACCACCUCCGGUCAUCUUUUCCGGCAUCCUCUCCUCCUUCCCCCACU